CUUGCAGAAAGCUGCCAAGCAGUAAGCCCAGGGACCCAGUGGCCCAGGUCUGACUGUGGGGAAGGGGGCGGUGGUGUCUGCUGAGGCCUGACUCUUUGAUAGAGUGACUGUGGCCCUGUUUCCCUCACUCUCACUCCCCUCAACACGGCCCUCCACAGCUUUCACGUCAUACUAAAAAGCUCGGGGCUGCGCCUGGAUCCAUCCAGGAUGGAGUGAUCAAGGACCAGGGACUUCCAACCAUCCAUGAAGUUAUUUUGGAGACAGUAGAAGACCUGGUACUUGGAAGAGAAGAAUUUGAACUGGGAGCCAGGACCCUACUCUCUACCUUGUAACUUGCUGGGAGAGACACCUGGAAUAGGACCCAAGGAGAGACAGGAAUCAGAGGGCUUAGAACAGCCAUGACACAGGGAAGCCUCUGUAAUGAGCCAAGUCAUUUGCCCUCCCCAGAGAUAAGGAUGCUUUGGAAAUGUGGAGAGCGUGGAAGUGCAGAGGACAGGAGAAGGAGCCACCUCGAAUGUGCGACUCUGGGUACUUCUGGACUAAAAGCUUAAUUUAAAAAGCAGAUGCAGCCAGGCGGUGGUGGCGGACGCCUUUGAUCCCAGCAGAAGACAUUUCUGUUACUAUAUUGGAAAAGGAGGAUGGAUGGCUCUGCCUUUAAUUCCAUUCGGUAUUCUGCAGGCGGAGGGAGGUGGUGGACCUCUGUGAGUUCAAGAGCAGCCUGGUCUACAGAGCAAGUUUCAGAACAGCAAAGAAAGCCUGUCUCAGAAGAAAAAAGAAGAAGAAAAGGGGGAAAGGAAGGAAGAAGCACGUGCAAGCGAGCCGCCACCCUCUCCACUUGUUUGGCUACCAGCAUAGUAGCUGUGUUGGGGUCACCAACAGCAGCAGACACUGCCGAGAGACGGCACCGGAGGACUCUGUGUGAUGGGUGUUCCUGACUUGCUCAUCCUGUCCAUUGAUCUUCUUUUUAGUUGCCUUCCCACAGUUUACUACCCUAGAGACUAAAGUUUUGUCUUUUUUUCCCCCCUCUGGAAUUUAUUGCUGUUUUCACCACCUUGUAGUGCUGAGGCUUGAACCCCUGUCUUUGGAUAUGUUGGUCAGCAUUCUGUGGGGCCAUUCUUGCUCAAACCACCACAGAUGCCAACUCAAAGAGCAGAAGGAAAGAGAAUUUUGACUGCUCUAUAAAAAUGUAUUAGAAAGAAGUUAGAAGGGCCAGGCUGGGUGAUGAAGGCCUCUAAUUCAAGCAUGACAAAGACAGACAGAUUUCUAUGAGUUCAAGGCCAGCCUGGUCUAGGAAGAAAGGAAGGAGGGAAGAAAGAAGGAACAAAGAAAGGAAGGAAGGAAGGAAGGAAGGAAGGAAGGAAGGAAGAAGGAAGGGCAAAUCCAGAGGGCUCCAUCAACACAUCACCAUAUCUACCACAGCUUUAGUAAUCUGCACAACUCGUCUCGUAUCUACGCCAUAGUCUGGAUUGGCUUUAACCAUUAAGACUGGGUCAUCUACUUUUCUUCACUGGAGUGGAUUGGGUUUCAUCAGGAGAACGGAUGGUUGCUGCCUAACCAAUUAAUUUAGCUCAGUUUGCAGCAUGUCCCUAGAAAGGAGAUAUGUACACAUUAAAUUUUUAUGAACACUGUCAAUACUCUGAAAGAUCUAGUGAGCUUUCUAUUACAAGUGUUUGAGAACAUCUUGCAGCCACUCUCGUGGGUCACUUUCUUUAAAAAAAAAUAUAUUAAGACUUCUUUUUAUCUCUA
Molecule: long non-coding RNA, 1746 nt
Organism: Myodes glareolus (Bank vole)
Lineage: Eukaryota; Metazoa; Chordata; Mammalia; Rodentia; Cricetidae
Source: RefSeq, a predicted model, not a curated record